GAUGGACGCUGGCGGCGUGCCUAAUACAUGCAAGUCGAGCGAACAGACGAGGAGCUUGCUCCUCUGACGUUAGCGGCGGACGGGUGAGUAACACGUGGAUAACCUACCUAUAAGACUGGGAUAACUUCGGGAAACCGGAGCUAAUACCGGAUAAUAUAUUGAACCGCAUGGUUCAAUAGUGAAAGACGGUUUUGCUGUCACUUAUAGAUGGAUCCGCGCCGCAUUAGCUAGUUGGUAAGGUAACGGCUUACCAAGGCAACGAUGCGUAGCCGACCUGAGAGGGUGAUCGGCCACACUGGAACUGAGACACGGUCCAGACUCCUACGGGAGGCAGCAGUAGGGAAUCUUCCGCAAUGGGCGAAAGCCUGACGGAGCAACGCCGCGUGAGUGAUGAAGGUCUUCGGAUCGUAAAACUCUGUUAUUAGGGAAGAACAAAUGUGUAAGUAACUAUGCACGUCUUGACGGUACCUAAUCAGAAAGCCACGGCUAACUACGUGC
This 498-nucleotide ribosomal RNA is filed under the name uncultured bacterium. Its description in RNAcentral is "partial 16S ribosomal RNA". It matches the Rfam family "Bacterial small subunit ribosomal RNA", at positions 28 to 508 of the family's 1533-position model. The record is from RNAcentral.